Non-coding RNA from Dissoconium aciculare CBS 342.82, 95 nucleotides. NCBI's taxonomy places the organism in Eukaryota, Fungi, Ascomycota, Dothideomycetes, Mycosphaerellales, Dissoconiaceae. The record is from the annotation of a RefSeq genome assembly.
GGCGACGUGUCCGAGUGGUUAUGGAGCUGCGUUUAGGCCUCCUAAGCAGAAUCCGCAGUGGCUUUGCCUCAUGAGUUCGAACCUCAUCGUCGUCA